This 253-nucleotide ribosomal RNA is filed under the name uncultured bacterium. RNAcentral's name for it is "partial 16S ribosomal RNA". It matches the Rfam family "Archaeal small subunit ribosomal RNA", at positions 474 to 727 of the family's 1478-position model. The record is from RNAcentral.
UACCAGAACCUCGAGCGGUCAGGAAGUUUAUUGGGCAUAAAGCAUCCGUAGACGGCUCUGCAAGUCUUCGGUUAAAUCCACCUGCUUAACAGAUGGGCUGCUGGAGAUACUACAGAGCUAGGGAGUGGGAGAGGCAGACGGUAUUCAGUGGGUAGGGGUAAAAUCCUCUGAUCCAUUGAGGACCACCAGUGGCGAAGGCGGUCUGCCAGAACACGUUCGACGGUGAGGGAUGAAAGCUGGGGGAGCAAACCGG